GUGCCAGCAGCCGCGGUAAUUCCAGCUCCAAUAGCGUAUAUUAAAGUUGUUGUGGUUAAAAAGCUCGUAGUUGAACCUUGGGCCUGGCUGGCCGGUCCGCCUCACCGCGUGCACUGGUCCGGCCGGGCCUUUCCCUCUGUGGAACCCCAUACCCUUCACUGGGCGUGGCGGGGAAACAGGACAUUUACUUUGAAAAAAUUAGAGUGCUCCAGGCAGGCCUAUGCUCGAAUACAUUAGCAUGGAAUAAUAAAAUAGGACGCGCGGUUCUAUUUUGUUGGUUUAUAGGACCGCCGUAAUGAUUAAUAGGGACAGUCGGGGGCAUCAGUAUUCAACUGUCAGAGGUGAAAUUCUUGGAUCAGUUGAAGACUAACUACUGCGAAAGCAUUUGCCAAGGAUGUUUUCAUUAAUCAGGAACGAAAGUUAGGGGAUCGAAGACGAUCAGAUACCGUCGUAGUCUUAACCAUAAACUAUGCCGACUAGGGAUCGGACGGUGUUAUUCAUGACCCGUUCGGCACCUUACGAGAAAUCAAAGUGCUUGGGCUCCAGGGGGAGUAUGGUCGCAAGGCUGAAACUUAAAGAAAUUGACGGAAGGGCACCACCAGGGGUGGAGCCUGCGGCUUAAUUUGACUCAACACGGGGAAACUCACCAGGUCCAGACACAAUAAGGAUUGACAGAUUGAGAGCUCUUUCUUGAUUUUGUGGGUGGUGGUGCAUGGCCGUUCUUAGUUGGUGGGGUGACUUGUCUGCUUAAUUGCGAUAACGAACGAGACCUUAACCUGCUAAAUAGCCCGCAUUGCUCCGGCAGUGCGCUGGCUUCUUAGAGGGACUUUCGG
RNAcentral lists this ribosomal RNA (833 nucleotides) under uncultured Ascomycota. RNAcentral describes it as "SSU rRNA". It matches the Rfam family "Eukaryotic small subunit ribosomal RNA", at positions 564 to 1426 of the family's 1831-position model. Lineage: Eukaryota; Fungi; Ascomycota. The record is from RNAcentral.